GGAAGCCAACGGGGCCCGGUGGCCCUCCCGGUCUUCAAAACCGGUGGUGUCCCGCCAUGCGGGAUGGCUGGGUUCGACUCCCAGGGGCUUCCGCCA
RNAcentral lists this transfer RNA (96 nucleotides) under Acidobacteriota bacterium. Its description in RNAcentral is "Acidobacteria bacterium tRNA-Sec". It matches the Rfam family "Selenocysteine transfer RNA". Lineage: Bacteria; Pseudomonadati; Acidobacteriota. RNAcentral also lists the same sequence under 1 other name. The record is from RNAcentral.